UAAAAAUGCUCUCCUAGGGCUGCAACUAACAAUUAUUUUCAUUGUCGAUCUGUGGAUUAUUUUCUCAAUUAAGUUGUUUGGUCUAUAAAAUGUCAGGAAAUAGUGAAAAAUGUUGAUCAGUGUUUUCCAAAGUAGUAGUUGUAGUUUUUUAUUUAGUCAUCAUAAAAACAAUACUUAUAUACAUGUUACAGUGUAAACUCAAACAGUAAAUAGCUGAAAGGAUUAGGCUGAAGCAACAGCUAACACAUGCCUAUCCUAUGUUCUUAUCCAUUAAAUCGAUUAAAUCUAUGCAAGAUAUAAGUAAAGAAACAAGAUCAUUGAUCACAUUUGUAACCCUCAAAAAUAGCAUUACAAACCAUUUUCUUAAAACCCAAAAGAGUGUUUCCCAAAGCCCAAGAUGACGUCCUCAAAUGUCUUGUUUUGUCCACAACUCAAAGAU
Molecule: long non-coding RNA, 439 nt
Organism: Sander lucioperca (pikeperch)
Lineage: Eukaryota; Metazoa; Chordata; Actinopteri; Perciformes; Percidae
Exons: 3
Source: RefSeq, a predicted model, not a curated record